This 468-nucleotide ribosomal RNA is filed under the name uncultured bacterium. Its description in RNAcentral is "partial 16S ribosomal RNA". It matches the Rfam family "Bacterial small subunit ribosomal RNA", at positions 28 to 507 of the family's 1533-position model. The record is from RNAcentral.
GACGAACGCUGGCGGCGUGCUUAACACAUGCAAGUCGAACGGCAAGGCCCUGCUUUUGUGGUGUGCCCGAGUGGCGAACGGGUGCGUAACACGAGAGUAACCUGCUCUUGACUUUGGGAUAACUUCAGGAAACUGGGGCUAAUACCGGAUAGGAGCCCCUGCUGCAUGGUGGGGGUUGGAACGUUUCGGCGGUUGGGGUUGGACUCGCGGGUUAUCAGCUUGUUGGUGGGGUAGUGGCUUACCAAGGCUUUGACGGGUAGCCGGCCUGAGAGGGUGACCGGCCACAAUGGUACUGAGAGACGGCCCAGACUCGUACGGGGGGCAGCAGUGGCGAAUAUUGCACAAUGGGCGGAAGCCUGAUGCAGCAACGCCGCGGGCGGGAUGACGGCCUUCGGGGUGUAAACCGCUUUCGCCUGUGACGAAGCUUGAGUGACGGUAAUGGGUAAAGAAGCACCGGCUAACUACGUG